Camellia sinensis is the source of this 182-nucleotide non-coding RNA. Lineage: Eukaryota; Viridiplantae; Streptophyta; Magnoliopsida; Ericales; Theaceae. The record is from RefSeq and is a predicted model, not a curated record.
UACUAUGCUUUGCUUUUAAUGUAGGACAAUGGAAGAGGAAUGCCACAUGAUGAUAUUCCCAAUAUGUUUGGACGAGUUUUGUCUGGGACAAAAUAUGGCUUGAAGCAGACACGCGGAAAGUUUGGACUUGGUGCAAAGAUGGCAUUAAUUUGGUCCAAGAUGAGUACAGGGUUCCUAUUGAG